UGGUGCCCGCAGCCGCGGUAAUUCCAGCUCCAAUAGCGUAUAUUAAAGUUGUUGCAGUUAAAAAGCUCGUAGUUGAAUUUCGGGAUUUGUCCGUUGGUCGGGCUUCACUGUCCGUACUGGCGUGAUGGAUUCCUACCUUCUGAAGAACCAUCAUGCUUAUUAAUUUGGUGCGGUGGGAAACCAGAACUUUUACCUUGAAAAAAUUAGAGUG
This 211-nucleotide ribosomal RNA is filed under the name uncultured Acaulospora. Its description in RNAcentral is "partial 18S ribosomal RNA". It matches the Rfam family "Eukaryotic small subunit ribosomal RNA", at positions 562 to 773 of the family's 1831-position model. The record is from RNAcentral. Lineage: Eukaryota; Fungi; Glomeromycota; Glomeromycetes; Diversisporales; Acaulosporaceae.